GAUGAACGCUGGCGGCGUGCCUAAUACAUGCGAGUCGAGCGAACAGACGAGGAGCUUGCUCCUCUGACGUUAGCGGCGGACGGGUGAGUAACACGUGGAUAACCUACCUAUAAGACUGGGAUAACUUCGGGAAACCGGAGCUAAUACCGGAUAAUAUAUUGAACCGCAUGGUUCAAUAGUGAAAGACGGUUUUGCUGUCACUUAUAGAUGGAUCCGCGCCGCAUUAGCUAGUUGGUAAGGUAACGGCUUACCAAGGCAACGAUGCGUAGCCGACCUGAGAGGGUGACCGGCCACACUGGAACUGCGCCCCGGCCCAGACCCCUACGGGGGGCAGAAGUAGGGAUUCUUCCGCAAUGGGCGAAAGCCUGACGGAGCAACGCCGCGGGAGGAAAAAAGGUUUUCGGAUCGAAAAACUUUUUUAUGGGGGAAAAACAAAUGGGUAAGUAACUAUGCACGUCUGGAGGGCACUAAAUCAAAAAGCCACGCCUAACUACG
RNAcentral lists this ribosomal RNA (495 nucleotides) under uncultured bacterium. RNAcentral describes it as "partial 16S ribosomal RNA". It matches the Rfam family "Bacterial small subunit ribosomal RNA", at positions 28 to 505 of the family's 1533-position model. The record is from RNAcentral.